GACGAACGCUGGCGGCGUGCCUAAUACAUGCAAGUCGAGCGCAGGAAGCCGUCUGAACCCUUCGGGGGGACGACGGUGGAAUGAGCGGCGGACGGGUGAGUAACACGUAAAGAAACUGCCCAUAGGUCUGGGAUAACCACGAGAAAUCGGGGCUAAUACCGGAUGUGUCAUCGGACCGCAUGGUCCGCUGAUGAAAGGCGCUCCGGCGUCGCCCAUGGAUGGCUUUGCGGUGCAUUAGCUAGUUGGUGGGGUAACGGCCCACCAAGGCGACGAUGCAGAGCCGACCUGAGAGGGUUAUCGGACACACUGGGCAUGAGAAACGGACCGAACUCCUACGGGAGGCAGCAGUAGGGAAUCUUCCACAAUGGACGAAAGUCUGAUGGAGCAACGCCGCGUGAACGAUGAAGGCUUUCGGGUCGUAAAGUUCUGUUGUAAGGGAAGAACAAGUGCCGCAGGCAAUGGCGGCACCUUGACGGUACCUUGCGAGAAAGCCACGGCUAACUACGUGCCAGCCGCCGCCGUAA
Molecule: ribosomal RNA, 524 nt
Filed under: uncultured bacterium
Lineage: Bacteria
Description: partial 16S ribosomal RNA
Rfam family: Bacterial small subunit ribosomal RNA
Source: RNAcentral